Molecule: long non-coding RNA, 240 nt
Organism: Cimex lectularius (bed bug)
Lineage: Eukaryota; Metazoa; Arthropoda; Insecta; Hemiptera; Cimicidae
Exons: 2
Source: RefSeq, a predicted model, not a curated record
GAUUUUUCCUAUUUCAUAUGUUUUCAUGAUGUAUAAAAACACUUUUUGAAAAAUUCACCAUUCUAAAUUUACAAAAUUGUUAGAAAUUGAGACAGUAUUCAUCAGUACUAUGUGCGAUCCGGGCUGCUACGUUGAAGAUGUCAUGCCACGUGUAAUAACAAACUGUACUACUGAUCUUCUAGUCAAAAUUGUAUUCGGUUAUGGCACGGGAUGGUUUUUUGCUAAAAUGUUCACUUCUCG